ACAGCAGCCUAGAGAGAACAGUACUAUUACCAUCCCCUUUUCAUCAGUAAGGAAACCAAGGCACCGCGGGGUUAUGUUACACAACUGUUUAGCUAACUGCCAUUGCCAGUCUCGUCGGGAAACUGAGGCUCCGAGGAGGCAUCACUCACUCAAGGCCUCACGCGGCUGCAGAGGGAACAGAGGACGCCCAGCCAGCCUUCUCUCGGCUCAUAAACGUCCAUAAGUUCAGACCCUGUUCUGCCUCCUGCUGCACGUCUGCGGGGACCCGAGCAUGUCACCCACUGGUGGGACUCUGAUGCCCUGAGACCCGCCUGGCUCUGGGGCCGCUCCUUCAUGAGCAUCAUCCCGUGGCGUCUGCCCCCAGCCCCACGAGAGCGACGCACUGAGGUACAGAGGAGCGAAAAGAAGCUCCUGGGGUCCGGCCGGGCCUCGAACCCCACCCAACGCAGCGAGCUGACCUCAAUCCAACGAAGUGAACUGAACCCCACCCAACGACACGAACUGAACCCCACCCAACGCAGCGAGCUGAACUCAAUCCAACGAAGUGAACUGAACCCCACCCAACAACAUAAGCGGCGGCCACGGGCACUCAGCCCUCCUCCUCUCUCGCCCACCCUUUCCUCCCCCCGCCUCCCUGCUCCCCGGGGCCUCCCCCUCCUCCUCCCAGGGCUUGUUCGGCUCUGAGUGCCGCUCAGACAAGGGCCACUUACCUGUUGGUUCCACUGCCUUUUCUAGCUCAAACAGUCCCAAGUGUGGCGAGACUCGGGGAGCCACGUGACCCCUCAUUUGUCACACCAGUGCCUUAAACCAGAGUCUUUGGUCACCUGAGCUGGAGAGUUCUGGGGGAGGACUCUUGUGUUUUAUUCUCUUCAGGGGGCGAUCAUCUCAACAAUAUUCUGAAGGAAAUUCCCUUUUCUGGAGGGCACGGGGAGGUGAGACCAGCCACAACAUGGAAGUAACCCAAGCAUCCACAGAUGGGUGACCGGAUACACGAAAUGUGGACCAUACAUACAAUGGAAUAUUAUUCACCUUUAACAAGGAAGGAAAUCCUGACACACACUAGAAAUGGAGGAAGCUGGAGGACAUUGGGCCAAGCGAAACAUGCCAGUGACGAAAGAACAAAUACUGCAUGAUUCCACGCGUAUGAGGGUUGUUCCAAGGCCAAAUGAGGUCACAGCAACAGCUGUUUAUUGAGUGAUUACUACAUGCCAGGGACUGAGAGAAGCACUUUACAGGGGCUAACUUGUUCAAUUCUCACAACAACACUACGAAGAUGUUCUUUUAUUGCCCCCAUUUUACAGAUGAGCAAAACCAGGGCUUUAGAAGAGAAGCCGCCUGCUCUGCGUUACACAGAGGGAAGUAGAGAGGCUGGGACUCAGACCUGAGUUGUGGUGACAGCCUGUGAGCACUGAGGUGGGGAGUCACCGCUGCCACCUUCCCUUCCUCCUCCAAGAAGUCUCCCAAGAUUCCUGCACGGGGGUGGCGCUCCUCUGAGCCCCUGGGAGCUCCCUCCUCUGGUUUCUAUGUGUCUCUGGCUCCCCUUGACCUGCUCACUUUGGACGUUAUUUCUGUCUCUGCCCCCAGCAGAAUGCAGGCUCUCCGAAGGUGGGUCUGGGUGGCUUUCAUUUUGGAAUCCGGGGUGCCCAGCCCAGAUGGCACAGAGCUGACAGAAGCCUGGGCAGCGGUGGAGAGCUCGGCCCGAGGGCAGGACCCUGGACAGCUCAGCUGGGAUCCGCUGGGCGCGGUGCCGCCUGCAGCCUGCAGGGUUUUGUGACGGUGUUAGUGACCACGACAGCCCUGAAAAGGAAGAGGAGGAGGAGGGUGAAUAAGACUACGACGACGUCGGCACCAUGUCCACAUCUCGCCAUCCUGUGUGGGGCCCAUGCUGUGCUGUAUCGGUCACAAAAGUCAGUCAUGCUGUAGGAACAACACACAUCUCAGUGGCUGACACCACCCAGGUUUACCCAUCACUCCUGCAAAGCCUGGCGGUCCAGAUGACGCUCCGGGACAGGGGUCCUCCGCACACACACUCAGCGAGCCAGGCCCGCGUCUGGAUCCUGUGGCUUCCCCACCGCAGGAGGACGUCACAGCAGCAGCGGCAGGACAAGGGCGUGCUCAAGGGUUUGCAGCAGCAAUGUCACUUCUGUGCACAGAACUGGUCCCCCACCCCCACCCCGCAAAUGCUGGGAUGGGGGAGUGCAAGUCUCCUGUGUUUCCAGAUGCACAGGAGCUCUUAAUAUUUCUACCACAUGGGACAAACAUUUUACAUAAUCACACCUCACUUAACGCUUGUGACAAUUCCUGAGCACACACAAUCCUGGGAGAGUCAGUAGAGUAGAGGCCAAGGCCUUGGACUCUGGAGUCAGAUCCGGGUUCAAACUACAGUUCCACUGUCCAAUGAGUGAUGGCCUGGCUCCACAGGUAGUGAGCUCCCCAUCACAGGAAGUAUACAAGCAGAAAUUGGAUGACCACUUUGAUCAUCAUCAUCAUUGUACAUUAGUGGCUGAUCUCUCCCAGAAGAUGCCUACCUUUUAUUUUAUUUUUAAAUUAUGUUUUAUAGAGGUAAAAUGUAUCUACCGCAAAAUGCAUAUAACUUGUGUACCACUGGCUGCGUUUUGACAAAUUCUACACCUGUGUAACUAACACUCCAGCCAAGAUAUAAAAUAUUUCC
Equus asinus (donkey) is the source of this 2671-nucleotide long non-coding RNA. The record is from Ensembl. Lineage: Eukaryota; Metazoa; Chordata; Mammalia; Perissodactyla; Equidae.